GGUGUAAUUGAACAAUUCAAUUUCAUUUAGUUAUUGCAAACAGUUUUUUCAUUGUUUUUCCAUAUCCUGCUAAUGGUUUGUAUGUUCAAUUUUUAAAGGGUUUUUGCUAUGUUUUUUUUUGGUUCUUUUUGUCUCUGUAAUUUCUUUUUUUUAGCAUUCUGUCUGUUCAAUUUUUUAAGGGUUUGUUUUGUUUUGGUUUGGUUUUUUUAAGGGUUUGUUUUGUUUUCAUUUUUCUUGUAUACAGUGUGCACACUGGUUUGUCAAUGUUUUUUAUCUAUUAUUUGUUCUGUUUUUUGGUAUUACAUUUUUGUGGUAGCAGAUAAAGAGGCAGAGCAGGUAAAGUGGCAGAGUGGGAGAAAAAUGAAAUGACAAUUGAAUGAGGGCAAAAAUUCUUUUCCCAGAUAAUUCUUCACUAAAAUGAACAGGAAUCAUGGUAGAAGCAAAAUUCUUCUUCCAAACAAUUCUUCAUAUAAACUAUCUUUAUUAUAGAGCUAAUGAAUUGUUUGUCUUGCUUAGUAUGAAUGGUUGACUGACCAUUUCAGAGGCUAUCAUUUUCUUAAUCUUUCAAUUUUUACACAAUGUAUUAAUUAAUUUGAUUUGUUUUCAUUUUGUAUAGAUUGACUCAUGUUUAUUUUUAUGUUCUUGCAGCAAAAUGCUCAAAGACAGAUGGUGGUUUUCUUGGUUUUCUUUAUUCUGUUUAAUUUUUUGGGGUUGAGAUUCUAAUUUAGUCACGAGAUGCAGAGAAAUAGAGAUGGGAAAUUCGUUAUGAUCACAAGUACCUCUUGAAGGAACCCAGAUUUCCAGAACUGUCAAUCCAGUGUUUGAAUUCUCUCAUGCCUGGGCUCUAUUAAACUGUUGUGGAUCUAACAAUGAAAAACUAAAGUAGACUUACGCAUGGGUAUUUUUGUUUUUUCAGGACUUCUCUUUCAGUUAAAAAUGUCUCCUCACUAAUCCAGACACAAAUUGGCUACAUGGGAAGGCAGGUUGAAAGGAUGAUUAUGCAUGAUAUAUUGUUUGUUUAGUCUCCUCUAUCCAAAUUCGUUAGGAUUCUAAGGUUCAUCUCCAUAGAUGUCAAUCAGUUGUUCAUUGACAUCAUAUGACGUUCAGCUGCAAUGCCCUAUUGGGCUUGUGGUAUGUCUGUACAUGCCCUAAAGAUCUAACAAGGUCGACCAAACAACUCGUGGAAUACAUCUUUUUCAGCAAAAAAUAUCUCCUCACUAAUCCACGCAAAAAUUGGAUACAUGGGCAGUAGUAGAUAAAGAGGCACAAGAGGCAAAGAACAGAAAGAGGUUGAGGCAAGAAAACGAAAUGGCAAUGAGUGAAAUUUAUUUUUCUUGUAGUUAUUUGUAAAAGUUAUCUUUAUUUUAAUAAUUAAUGAAUUUUUUUGUCUUGCUAAAAUGAAUACGAAUCACAAAGAAGGAAGCAGCAAUCAAAGGGAGACAAAAUUCUUCUUUCACAUAAAUCUUCAUAUAAAUAAUCUUAAUUUUAAGAACUAAUAAAUUGUUUGCCUUGUAAGGAUAUAGAGGAAUCAUAGAUUGUUUGUCUUGUUUUACUUAAAUAUAGAUUUUUUUAAAUUGUUUUUCCCUUUUUUGUUAAUAGUUUACUCUGUUUUCUUGUUCUUUCUUUCAUUGCAAUUUUUUCUUCACUGCAUUGUUUGUUCGAUUUUUUUAAGAGUGUUUUGAUUUUUUUAGGUUGUAUACAGUGUGCACACUGGUCUGUCUGUGUUAUUCUGGUUUGUCUUUGUUGUUCAUUUAUUAUUUUCUUUUUUGGUUUUACAUUUUUGUGGUAGCAAAUAAAAAGGCAGAGCAAGUGAAGAGACAGAGUAGAGGAAGAAGCGGACAAAAGGAUAUGACAACUAAAUGAGAGAAAAAUUAUUUUUCCAUGUGAAUCAGCAAUUAAAUGGAGCAAAAUGCUGGAAGGUAACUGGUGGUUUUUUUUUCCAGUUUAAUCCUUUUGGUUGAGAUUCUAAUAUAAUCAUGAGAUGCAAAGAAAAAAAGAUGGGAAGGAAGUUAUGAUCACAAAUACCUGAUCUAUAAACUCUUGUAGAUCUAACAAAUGUCUACAUGUGGGCAUUUUUGCUUUUUCAGGUUGUUCUCUUUCAAUUAAAUAUCUCCUAAUUUGUCAGGAUUCUAAGGUAAACCCAGGUAUAAACAACUUACAUUGUUGCCCCAUCAUUUCACAAGGGAAGGGUCUAUUGGACUUCUACAUCUGUUCAACAAUUUACUGUCCUCAUAGGAUGUUCAGCUUCAAUGCCCUAUUGGACUUUGGUAUGUUUGUACAUGC
This is a long non-coding RNA of Cryptomeria japonica (Japanese cedar), 2283 nucleotides long. RefSeq lists it as uncharacterized. The record is from RefSeq and is a predicted model, not a curated record. The transcript is spliced from 5 exons. Lineage: Eukaryota; Viridiplantae; Streptophyta; Pinopsida; Cupressales; Cupressaceae.